GCUGAUUAGCUAGUUGGUGAGGUAAAGGCUCACCAAGGCGACGAUCAGUAGCUGGUCUGAGAGGAUGAUCAGCCACACUGGAACUGAGACACGGUCCAGACUCCUACGGGAGGCAGCAGUGGGGAAUUUUGGACAAUGGGGGAAACCCUGAUCCAGCCAUUCCGCGUGAGUGAAGAAGGCCUUCGGGUUGUAAAGCUCUUUCAGGAGGGAAGAAACGGUUGCAGCUAAUACCUGCGACUAAUGACGGUACCUUCAGAAGAAGCACCGGCUAACUACGUGCCAGCAGCCGCGGUAAUACGUAGGGUGCGAGCGUUAAUCGGAAUUACUGGGCGUAAAGCGUGCGCAGGCGGUUUUGUAAGUCAGAUGUGAAAGCCCCGGGCUCAACCUGGGAACU
RNAcentral lists this ribosomal RNA (394 nucleotides) under uncultured bacterium. RNAcentral's name for it is "bacterial SSU rRNA". It matches the Rfam family "Bacterial small subunit ribosomal RNA", at positions 236 to 622 of the family's 1533-position model. The record is from RNAcentral.